RNAcentral lists this long non-coding RNA (483 nucleotides) under Triticum aestivum (bread wheat). RNAcentral's name for it is "long non-coding RNA (TAES_LNC005381)". Lineage: Eukaryota; Viridiplantae; Streptophyta; Magnoliopsida; Poales; Poaceae. The record is from RNAcentral.
UCCAAUUGGUGGUCAUUGCGACAACCACCAGACUCCUGCAAAACAUGUCUCCUCCCAAGAGAACUUCAUGAAGGCCAUGACCUUGCAGCUGCGCUCUAUCAGUACAAAGGAAUACCGGCUGUGUUUUCAGACUCGUGGGAUGGAAUGAUGCAGGCCUCUAAAGAAACUGCAAUUGGCGCAAAAUCUCCAUGACGAUCAUAUGUUUACUUGUUUUUAGCCCCUCUUCUGUUCUCCGACUCGCCGGGAGAUUUUUGUGGUGGCUGAAAGGCUAAUUGAAGAACUUUUAUGUCUCGUUUUGGUGUGCUGUAUGUGUUUCUAUAAAUGUUUAUGGUGCCGAUGGUUGCCACUGCUCGCUCGGAUGCUGACGGCAAUAGCAACUGAAGGCGCGGGUUAACCGCCGUGUGGAUGAUUCUGAGCGUGACAUGGAACUAACUUGCCCAUUCAUUGCGUUGCGUUUUCAUGCCCUGUGGAUUAGAAGUUGAC